RNAcentral lists this ribosomal RNA (465 nucleotides) under uncultured Klebsiella sp. RNAcentral describes it as "bacterial SSU rRNA". It matches the Rfam family "Bacterial small subunit ribosomal RNA", at positions 338 to 795 of the family's 1533-position model. The record is from RNAcentral. Lineage: Bacteria; Pseudomonadati; Pseudomonadota; Gammaproteobacteria; Enterobacterales; Enterobacteriaceae.
CCUACGGGUGGCAGCAGUGGGGAAUAUUGCACAAUGGGCGCAAGUCUGAUGCAGCCAUGCCGCGUGUGUGAAGAAGGCCUUCGGGUUGUAAAGCACUUUCAGCGGGGAGGAAGGCGUUAAGGUUAAUAACCUUGGCGAUUGACGUUACCCGCAGAAGAAGCACCGGCUAACUCCGUGCCAGCAGCCGCGGUAAUACGGAGGGUGCAAGCGUUAAUCGGAAUUACUGGGCGUAAAGCGCACGCAGGCGGUCUGUCAAGUCGGAUGUGAAAUCCCCGGGCUCAACCUGGGAACUGCAUUCGAAACUGGCAGGCUAGAGUCUUGUAGAGGGGGGUAGAAUUCCAGGUGUAGCGGUGAAAUGCGUAGAGAUCUGGAGGAAUACCGGUGGCGAAGGCGGCCCCCUGGACAAAGACUGACGCUCAGGUGCGAAAGCGUGGGGAGCAAACAGGAUUAGAUACCCGUGUAGUC